This 294-nucleotide unclassified non-coding RNA is filed under the name Hevea brasiliensis (rubber tree). The record is from RNAcentral. Lineage: Eukaryota; Viridiplantae; Streptophyta; Magnoliopsida; Malpighiales; Euphorbiaceae.
GAUUGCCUUCAGCACCAGCUGCUCGACUUUCACUUCUGCUGGGAUGGCUACUCAUCAUAGUAGGUGUGAUUUUGCUUGUGAGUUCCACCCGGCUACUGCGGCACCUACCACGGCCAUUACGACGCUUCAUGAGNNNNCAUUGAUCGGAAUUUUAAUCUGAGUCGAUCAGGGUCUCUCCGGGUUAAGGAUUCAAACCCAAGUGCUGUUAUCCAGGCAGCAACAUUGCAUCAUUUGAUAUCAACUCCAGCUAAAGAGAAAGCAUGAAUAGAAAAAAUCACCAAGUUUGCUACCAAU